UGGUCCUCUGUGGGCAUCUUACUAGACAGUGCUGGAUAUUUUGGAUCUACUCUAACACUGUCUGGUAACGAUGUUUAAAGGGUGAACCAAA
RNAcentral lists this microRNA precursor (91 nucleotides) under Alligator mississippiensis (American alligator). Its description in RNAcentral is "microRNA ami-mir-200a precursor". Its record names the gene ami-mir-200a. The stretch from base 10 to 78 matches the Rfam family "mir-8/mir-141/mir-200 microRNA precursor family". Rfam says of the family: The bounds of the precursors are predicted based on conservation and base pairing and are not generally known. Lineage: Eukaryota; Metazoa; Chordata; Crocodylia; Alligatoridae. The record is from miRBase by way of RNAcentral.